AAGAAUUUAAGUUAAAUUAAACUAUUGACCUUCAAAGUCAACAUUAGAAUAAAUCUAAUUCUUA
This 64-nucleotide transfer RNA is filed under the name Myllocerinus aurolineatus. Its description in RNAcentral is "tRNA-Trp". Lineage: Eukaryota; Metazoa; Arthropoda; Insecta; Coleoptera; Curculionidae. The record is from RNAcentral.